UUAUUCGCUCUUACGGCACUC
Molecule: non-coding RNA, 21 nt
Filed under: Caenorhabditis elegans
Lineage: Eukaryota; Metazoa; Nematoda; Chromadorea; Rhabditida; Rhabditidae
Source: RNAcentral